Tympanuchus pallidicinctus (lesser prairie-chicken) is the source of this 5725-nucleotide long non-coding RNA. RefSeq lists it as uncharacterized. The record is from RefSeq and is a predicted model, not a curated record. Lineage: Eukaryota; Metazoa; Chordata; Aves; Galliformes; Phasianidae. The transcript is spliced from 3 exons.
UGUCCAUGUUGUAAUGGUGUGCAGUUUUAAUUUGUUGGGCCAAAAGUGCUUGUUGCUCUGUCUCUGCUAAGCUCAGCCCUCUGCACCACUGAAUUUGAGCCUCUGGCUUUUGGCUGCCUAGCUUGCGAAGGGCUUUACAGAAUAUGCCCUCUGAGGAGAGGCUGAAGGAACUGGGGCUGUUUAGUCUGGGGAAAAGGAGGCUGAGGGGAGACUUUAUUGCUUUCUUCCAGUAUCUGAAAGGCGUUUACAGUGAGAAUGGGGUUGGUCUCUUCUCACUGGUGACAGGUGACAGGAUGAGAGGAAAUGGCCUCAAGUUGCACCAGGGUAAGUUUAGGUUGCAUAUCAGGAAGCACUUAUUUACAGAAAGGAUUGUUAAGCACUGGCAUAGGCUCCCCAUGGAGAUGGCUGAGUCACUGGAUGUGUUUAAAACCCGUCUGGAUGUGGUGCUCAAGGACACGAGAUAGCUGAGGGUUGUUACGGUAGUAUGGUUAGGUUGUGGGUUGGAUCUUUAAGGUCUUUUCCAUCCUGAGCGAUUCUAUGAACAUCAGGUGGCUUGCAGGACCAGGUGCGAUUGUAUGCCCAGCAUGGGUACGCUGAGCUUUCUAGGGUGUUGUUUUGUUUUGUUUUUUGUGGUGGCUCCUCUGAGAGGUGUCUGUAGUGCCAUAGGAUCCAGGGUCAUGUGAGAAUUAGGGUUUCUCCCAAAUACAAAGCAGGCCCUCUCCACAGGUUAGCCUGGGAGGGGAUCCCGAAGUUGUUUGCUUUGUCCUCCACAGUACAUAUGCAGAGAUAUGUCUCUAUGAAGACAGGCACAGAAGUGAACACACAGCUGAAAAGAGAUCCAGAAAUGAAAUAAGGGGCAGAUGAGGAUGUGUUUUGAAGAGAAUCAGGAUGCAAAAUCAAAGAGGGAAACUUCAGGGAUACAGUCUUAAGAUGCAUUAUCAGAGAGAACAGCGCUUUGCAAACAAUGCUUGUAAAAAUGCAGCAGGGCAAGGAGAAUGUGCCCUAGGAAUUAGUGGCAGAUAUGGGACAAGGGGGGGUCUCAUCAUUUUUUGUUUUCUGGAUUAGUUCUUCUAGCAAAAAAAAACCAAACAAACAAACAAAACAAUCCAAGGGAUCUGUAGGCGUUGAGAUCUUCCGUGGGGUUUUGUUUGUAAAUUAAAAAAACAAAAACAAACAAACAAAAAAACUAUCAGAAGAUAAAUGCUUCCUGAAAAAAAGAAAGGAAAACCAAUCCCCAGAAAGCCAUCCUCUGCACACUGAGCAGGUAUGUUCUGCUCCUCCCCCUGCCCCCAAAGGGCAGGCUGGCUCACUGCCCACUGCUGCAGGUGAGGAUGUGUGAGCACUGCCUGGCUGCUCUGCUCCUUUCCUUCUACUCCCCGGGUCCCUGCAGCUGCUGCUGCACGAGAAUAAGGAGGAUGUGGCUUUGUGUGAGACACAGUAAGGUCUUUAGGAGACUCUCUGCAGAAUCCUGCAGUAAUGCAUAUCUUGAACAGGCAGUGCUGGUGGGCUUGGCGCUUCGCUCCUUUGUUUGCCCGUUCAGGGAAAAUAUUGCAGUUACCUCCAUAGUUAGUUUUAAGAAUGAUAGAAGGCAAAACGUUACCUGGCAGGGUGACAGGGGAACUGUUGUGCACAGAGAGAGCGUCCGUGUUUUAUCCAGCCCUGUUCAGUUAUUCCUGAACAACUGGAGCACAUUGCUGGACUGUUCCCUGCAGAUUCCUGCAUCUGACAAUCUGCUUUCGGCAGGAUUUAGCACUGAAAAUCAGCAAGUGUGAGUGAGGCACAAAGUGCUCAGCCUGACGGAGGCCUGAGGAUAACCAAUGCAUGGAAGUGUGGGGAGUUUCUACAUUUCUGUGAGAAUGCUGCAUUCUGUAUAGUCUUUUUCAGUAUCUUUAAUUCAUUGUUCUGGAUGUUGUUUUAGUGACCUGGAGCUUGCCAAGGUGGAAAUUGUUAGAGAGAAUAAACCCGUCUGUGAGUUAGUGACAGAAAUACCGCUGCCUUUUAUCUGCUUUUCCUGCUUUGAUUUCUCAAGAGCUUACCUGAGCUGUCUCUUGUCCAAGGGCUGCUUUUAUACCUGUGCCAAUAAGCGGUGGAGCGCUCACGAAGGGCACAGCACAGUGGCAGCCAGGGAGGGAGGCAGUGAAAGGCUGCCUUUAACACUGCUGUACCUAGCAAACCCAAUUUUCAGCUGUAUGUGUCAGUGUGGCAACUCCUCUUGUUCCCAGCCGGCAUGCUACAGGGUAAUUGAGAAUACGGCUUAUUGCAGGCUUUUGUUUCUCUUCCAAGAUUCGUUCCUUUUCAUUCCUUUCUGUGCUGAGUAUAAUAAACAGAACAGGAGCUGUAGGCAGUUUGGCAGGGGAAACAAGGUUCAAUAACUUAAAAAAAAAAAAAAAAGGCAGAAAAACAAACAAAAAGCAGGUCAGUAGAGAGCUGGAAAGAUGCCUUUGACAGAAGAAAAGUAGAGGAAGGAAAAGAAAUAUCCAAGCUGUUUCCUCUGCUCUUCUCAGUCAAUGUGAAUGGAAGCUGUGAAUGAAGGAAUGCCAAGACUUCUCUGUUUCCCAGCCAGGCAGGUGUGGCCUUCCUGGUGCUCCCUUACUGCUAUCAGAUCCGCUGACAUCAGCAUGGCCCACAGCAGAGUUGCUUGAUGGCCCUCAUCACAGGAGUGAGGCUGUUCGCUACGUGUGGGGUUACAGUGAUCCCAGGUGGCCCAAUGAAUCUGAGUAACUGGGCUCUUAAUUCCAUAAGCAGCCUGCAGAGAGUUCUCUUUUCUCUGGUGGGCUGGGUUUGGUGAAAAAUUGAAAGAAAAAUGACUGAAGGAAUGAAAGAAAUGUAUUCUGGUUCUGUUUUAUUUGUGUGUGUCAAGCUUUUGUGUACAUAGAAAUGCAGAUUUAUGAGAUCUCGAGAAAGCAGCACUUGUAUCAAUUCCUUCCCCGGAAGAAUCUAAUAACUGCCAGGUUCUCUUGUUGACAUAGGGAGGAUCAUCAUUUGGAUUUAAUCCAAACACUAAGUUUUACAGAUGAGCCUAAGGCACUGCUAGUGACAUAUUAUCCCAUGUCUCCUCAUAGUGAUAUUCCCCUUUUCUGAAUAGGCAUAGAUGAAUCUUGAGGCAGAUGUGCAUUAAGAAUCCCUGUUUCUGUGUUUUACUUGGACUAUGCAGCUACAAUUCGAGCAACUAGAAAAGGGCUAAAUAGCAUUCGCUGCCCUGCUGGGGCCCCUGCUCUGCCCCCAGUAGCUGCCAAUGGUUUGCCAUGGGGCAGCUGGACAGAAAGUGUACCUCGUACCACAAGAACGGGGCGCUUGGGGCUCCUGCCAGGCAAGUCAGCUGAGAUAAUCCGCUGCCUGCGACCUCAUUAAAACAGCCUGAUUGGGGCUGCUAAUCACAUAAAUAAAGAAUUAAAUCAUUGCAUUAACCUUCUGCAGGGAAACCUGCCCUGGCAACACUGACAGAAUUAGAUCUAUUAAUUAUUUACAGGGUCAUUUGAUAGAAAUGUAUAUAGAUGGCAGAUUAUGAGCACUUGAAGUUAGCCAUAAAUUAUUGCUCUGAUAAGAAGUUUUUAAUAUUUUCUCUUAAUGUCCUGAAUUAAAAGCCACCUUGCUUUUAUCUCCGUAAGACAGUAGCGUCACACAUCAUUUACUGCAGGUAGAUCAAACAAAUGCCAUGACCCAACAGCAAGGAUUUGUGCACUCCUCUCUUUUUGUGAGGCUCUUUGUUUUGUUAGCAGUCCCUCUUGUGCAAGCAGGAUUUCUGUAGCUAAAUUUGGGGCCAGUUCCUCACCCACUGUAACUACUCAGAGCUUCUGUGGUGGCAAAGGUGCUCAGAGGACCUGAGCUUUGCCUUGCCAUCACUGUGUGGCUAAUCUGGCUCACCAGCUAUCUCCGGCAUUUCCCACUGCCGCAGAGCACUCAGAUGCUUUCUGCAGUGGCUCUCUAGUGUUAAAAGUAUUCAAUUUCAUUAAAUGCUGCGUUGCAUUUCCCUUCUAUCUAAGGAUUGCUUGGAAAAAAUGCUCUUGAAUCAAAUGGGAUGAUAAGUUCAUUAUUUUACUGAUUCUACUGGGCUUGCAGGAAUGACAAUGGCACUAGAUAGGCUUGUUUGCUGACCAGAAUUUGAAUGUGUAUCUGCAGCUAGCACACAAAAGAUUUGGGCAUGUGGAGUGGAGGGAGGGUGGGGAGACUGAAGGGAAAUCUGUCAUUAUUUAUGGAAAUAUCCAGUAUUCAUGGAGCCAUCUGCUGUGAAUGAUUCAAGUCUGAGAAGUGUCAUAAAAUGAGGAAGCAUAAUGUAAAAAGAAAAAAAUAAAAUAAAAAACCUGGCAUCGCUCAGAAACCUGAAUGCGUAACCUCAGAAUCUCUCUUUUUAAAGAUGGUUUGUAAAUCCUCUGCCAGAUUGAGAGAUAAAGAUAGAUGAUAUUUCUCAGGUUUCUCUCCUCACCCUUCUUGGAGCAAUUCAUUCCAUUUGUUCAUUUCCAGCUUUUUAAUUAUUGAUCAUGUCUUUUCUUUUUAACUUCCUCACUGUUUGGGGCUGAGACAAGGGGGUGUUAAGAAAAAGGUGUCUGGGAGACUGCUUAGACCUUGAAGCAUUGAGAAGGUCUUUCUUGUAGCCGUCAUUUUCUCAGAUAUCGAAGCAUCUGCUUUGUUGCCAGAAUUCGCAUUAAUAUUAAGAAAUUUUAUUAUGAGUGGGACCCUCAUAAUGCUCCUCUGGGCCCAGACACAGGCAGAGAUUCGCCUGCUGUCCUGUACUGUGUCCUUUCUGAUUGUUCCCAUUCCUUAUUCAUUGAUUUGAUCAUGUUCUUCUUUACACAGUCAGUACAGACAGACUGUGGGGAAACUGAGGCAAGAAAGAAGUAAUAAUAUGCAGAGCAACACAGUGAUCUACUGACAACACUGGGGACAGGCUCUACUUUUCUUGAUUAUUUCUCUGGGAACAGAGACCUGCUGCAAGUCCUUUUCUUGGGAGCAGCUGGAAAUCCCUGUGAAAAGUUCUGUCUAUCUUGCUUCUCUUAUUUUAGUUAGCUUUUUAGUGGCAUAGCAUAUUACUAGCAGGUGCUGUGGUGUACUUGUGUGCAUUUGUCUUGCUAUACUUCCUUUCAUCUCUAUCACUUUGUUCUCUGGCUACUUGUGGCAUGUUAGAGUAGAAGUUGAUCUUCAGCCGCCGUGGUGUUUGCAGUCCGUGGCUAUGCAUUUAGAAAUCUCCCUACUAUUGCUCUGACUUUUUAAAAUACUUCCUUGCUUUAUAAUUUGCCAUUAGUUAUGUUGGUUUAUCUUGAAGCUGUGCAAUAGUCCUGUUCUCCAUACAGCUUUUCUUUCUUCAUCCAGUAUUCCAACUCCAUGCCUUAAAAAUUCCAUCUCCAGCCUAGCAAGCACAUAAAAAUGUGCUGAAGCACCACAGAUUUUGAUUCUUCCCUCUUCUGCAGGCUUGCUUCAAUUCUCGAGGAGCUUGUGGUUACCUCAGCUGAAAUGAUCUCAGAGGACUUGUUCCAGCUACAUUCAUGCUGAGUAGGAUCUCAUUCAGCAAACAGCCUCUCAGUAAUCAAUAUGCCUGCGGGGGAGGAAAUACAGAGUGCCAGAGAACCCAGCAAGGCAGUACAAGUCACAGCCAUGAAGAGCAGCUGGGGACAGGCAAAGCAAGGCAAGGCCCAGCGCUGUGAGUACCAGGCCACCCUGCUGCUCAGCACUGUGGAUAUUAGAGUGACAAUGUUACAGUACUAUUGCUCGUCAUUAUUUCCUAGAUAAG